Molecule: small nuclear RNA, 107 nt
Filed under: Aotus nancymaae (Ma's night monkey)
Lineage: Eukaryota; Metazoa; Chordata; Mammalia; Primates; Aotidae
Source: RNAcentral
GUGCUUGCUUUGGUAGCACAUAAACUAAAAUUGGAACAAUACAGGGAAGAUUAGCAUGGUCCCUGCACAAGAAUGUCAUGCAAAUUCAUGAAGCAUUCCACAGUUUU